GGCGGCCCGCGAGCGGGCCCGGCGGCGGCUCCUGCGGGCGGAGACGGGGCGGGGCCUGAGGCGGGGGGCGGGGCGGCUCCUCAGGCCCCGCCCCGGCCCGCGCGCCGGGAACAAAGGCGCCCGCGCGCCCGUGGAGAGGACCCCCGCCCGCCUCCCGCCGCGCCUGCGCCCCGCGACCCCCGGACAGGCCCAGGCAGGGACGCGGGGCGCAAUGGCGGCGGGGGCGCGCCCGCCGCUCGCGCUCCCGCGGCCCGCCGCUCCGUCCGCCGCCCUCCUCACGCCGCCCCGGCCGGCCCCGUCACGCGGCGGCAGCCCCGCGCCGGCCCGUCAGUCAGUCGCACACGCACGGGCGGUCGCCCAGCCCGCUGUCCCGCACAGGCCCGGCCGCAGCCGCUCCCUCAGCCCGCUGCCCGCGCGGCGGCCGGGAGGAAAGGUGAGGGUGCAGAGCGCCCCGGCCCGCCGGCCGAGCCCGGUUACCUGGGCGGCUGCCCGGCGGAGGGAGCCAGCCAGGCCAGGCCGGGCCGCCUCACACCCGCGGCGGCGGCGGCGGGGGCAGCGGCGGCGGCGGCGGCGGCGGCGGCGGAGGCGGGCCCUCCGCGCACCCUCUCCGGGGCGGGGCGGGGGCGGGGCAGCCUGCGGAUUGGCUGGCGGGCUUUGACGGACAGCAGGCCUGCCCCGCCCCGCCCCUUGGGCCGCUCGGGGCUGCCCCGCAGGCCGCUCCUGCGACCGCCGGACCCUCGUCCGUCCCGCCCCUGCGGCGAGCGUGGCGGGCGCUCGACGGCCCCGUCCUCCGGAGCGGCCCCCGGGCCUGAGCGCGGCCUGUCGGGCCUUCAGACCUGCGGCCCCCGGCGGCCUCCGCCUGCGCGGCUCCUCGCCCGCCGCCCGCCGCCCGCGCCACCUCACGCCCCGCCUCCUCGCGCCCCUCUGGCAGGGGUUUCCGCGGCCUCACUCCGCGUGUUUUCCUCCCGCCUCCCCCCAGGCCGCUGCCCGCGGGCCCGGAAGCCUCUCUCCGGCUGGCCUGGUCCGGAGCCGGGCGCUCAGGCGACGCCACCUCCCCAGGGCUUCACUCCCAGACCAGGCACCCCGGGCUGCCCCGCGGCGCCACUCCCCUCCGCCCUCCGCCCUCCCCCUCCCCCUCCGACUGCGCGCCCCGCUCCCUGCACUGCCCGCCCCCCCCCCGAGCCUGGCGCUCGGUCUGCUAACGUGCUUGGGCCAAGCCCCUCGGAGGUGUCUUCGACGCCGCCGCCGCCUCGGCUCCCAGCCACCUCGCGGGCCGGCCUGGCCGCGCCACCGUUGGCCCUCGCCACCCCACCCACCACGCCUGACUUGCAUCUUCUCUCGUCCAGACUCUUUACUCUCCCUGGUCUUACCUGCAUCUACUAUCCAUGCUUUAAUUUUUUUAAAAAGAAAUUAAAUCCCCAUCGGCCACCUCCGGCCCCACCGCCUCCAGGACUUCCCUUUGCACUCCAAGCCCGUGCUCCCUCCCGUCCCGGCCGGCCCUGA
Molecule: long non-coding RNA, 1503 nt
Filed under: Canis lupus familiaris (dog)
Lineage: Eukaryota; Metazoa; Chordata; Mammalia; Carnivora; Canidae
Description: lncRNA (ENSCAFG00030006155.1)
Source: RNAcentral